This 394-nucleotide ribosomal RNA is filed under the name uncultured bacterium. RNAcentral's name for it is "partial 16S ribosomal RNA". It matches the Rfam family "Bacterial small subunit ribosomal RNA", at positions 523 to 918 of the family's 1533-position model. The record is from RNAcentral.
AUACGUAGGGGGCUAGCGUUAUCCGGAAUUACUGGGCGUAAAGGGUGCGUAGGUGGUUUCUUAAGUCAGAAGUGAAAGGCUACGGCUCAACCGUAGUAAGCUUUUGAAACUAAGAGACUUGAGUGCAGGAGAGGAGAGUAGAAUUCCUAGUGUAGCGGUGAAAUGCGUAGAUAUUAGGAGGAAUACCAGUUGCGAAGGCGGCUCUCUGGACUGUAACUGACACUGAGGCACGAAAGCGUGGGGAGCAAACAGGAUUAGAUACCCUGGUAGUCCACGCCGUAAAUGAUGAGUACUAGCUGUCGGGGGUUACCCCCCUCGGUGGCGCAGCUAACGCAUUAAGUACUCCGCCUGGGAAGUACGCUCGCAAGAGUGAAACUCAAAUGAAUUGACGGGG